UUGAUUAUGGCUCCGGACGAACGCUGGCGGCGUGCUUACACAUGCAAGUCGAGCGAUGAAGUUUCUUCGGAAAUGGAUUAGCGGCGAACGGGUGAGGAACACGUGAAGAAUCUGCCCUCCACUUUGGGAUAACACAGGGAAACCUGUGCUAAUACCGAAUAUUGAAACAUAAGUGGCAUCACUGAGUUUUGAAAGAAUUUCGGUGGAGGAUGACUUCGCGGCCUAUCAGCUAGUUGGUGAGGUAAUGGCUCACCAAGGCAACGACGGGUAGCCGGCCUGAGAGGGCGACCGGCCACACUGGGACUGAGACACGGCCCAGACUCCUACGGGAGGCAGCAGUGGGGAAUAUUGGGCAAUGGAGGAAACUCUGACCCAGCGACGCCGCGUGCGGGAUGAAGGCCUUCGGGUUGUAAACCGCUUUCAGUAGGGAAGAAGCGAAAGUGACGGUACCUACAAAAGAAGCACCGGCUAACUAUGUGCCAGCAGCCGCGGUAAUACAUAGGGUGCAAGCGUUGUCCGGAAUUAUUGGGCGUAAAGAGCUCGUAGGUUGUUUGUUACGUCGGAUGUGAAAACCUGAGGCUCAACCUCAGGCCUGCAUUCGAUACGGGCAAACUAGAGUUUGGUAGGGGAGACUGGAAUUCCUGGUGUAGCGGUGGAAUGCGCAGAUAUCAGGAGGAACACCAAUGGCGAAGGCAGGUCUCUGGGCCAAUACUGACACUGAGGAGCGAAAGUCUGGGGAGCGAACAGGAUUAGAUACCCUGGUAGUCCAGACCGUAAACGGUGGGCACUAGUUGUGGGGACCUUCCACGGUCUCUGCGACGCAGCUAACGCAUUAAGUGCCCCGCCUGGGGAGUACGAUCGCAAGAUUAAAACUCAAAUGAAUU
This 884-nucleotide ribosomal RNA is filed under the name uncultured Micrococcineae bacterium. Its description in RNAcentral is "bacterial SSU rRNA". It matches the Rfam family "Bacterial small subunit ribosomal RNA", at positions 13 to 911 of the family's 1533-position model. The record is from RNAcentral. Lineage: Bacteria; Bacillati; Actinomycetota; Actinomycetes; Micrococcales.